CCCAUAUUGAUGUAGUUUAAACUCACUAGGAGGAUGAUGCUGCCCAGGAAAAUGUGUUGGGCUACAGACUGUUUCUGGACCACAAUCUUUCAGAAGUGUUUGGCAAAAUCAUAACGGACCCGUCAUUGCGCCGAUGUAAAAGCCUUUGUGUUUAGAACGGGCUUACUCUAAACAUGCCAAUGUCUACUGAGAAGCUGCCAACAAAUUUUACUGUCUAAUUAUAACCGUAGUCAUGCAAGAUUUGUCUAAGCAGCGAUAGCGCGAUAGGUAGUCAAUUGUGUUCGAAAACUGGGAGUGUUAAUCAUGUAAAGCAAAAUCGAAAGACGCAAUCUAACAGGGUGUAUUUACCGAUGCACCAUACAAUAGUCGCAUAUAGAUGAAAUUUACCUAUUUUAGCUUAUUGACAACUCUGCAAACAAACAGAUCAUUUCGCUAACGCGACUUUAUCAGACGUUAAGAACGCCCUUAUUUUUAUUGUUUGAGAGGAUUAAUGUCACUUUGACCUUGCCUGUCUUCAAGAGAAAGCAAAUCAAAAAUUGAAUGUAUCUAUUCCCUUUAGGUUAAGUCUUUUCACUGCGAAAAGCAAUAACAGCUGCCAAUACAAUUGACUUCCAUUUCAUCCCCUUUAAAAUAGUCACUUUCAUCGUCAGGCUGAGAGCUUUGUUCAUGAAUGUUUUAACAUUAGUACAUCGUUAACUAGUUAACAUUAUUGUGCGUCUAGAAUUUAACUUCUUCCGACGGUAAAAGCUUCUAAAGGUGUCCUCAAAGCUUUUACCGUCGGGUGUCCGACUCUGUUUCAUAAAAAUAUAUGCGCAUUAACGCAAUCUUCCAUUUUUAGACCAAACAUUAGUCUGCAAUAUGUGAUUUCAUAGUAGAAAAAAACAAAGUGCGUAACAAGUCGCACCUGAUUAUUGCUGGACAAUUGAUAGUUUGUGGUAAGUUGUGACAAUCACUUCGUUGGAAACUGCUCUUCGCUUCGUUUCAUGAUGAAAACGCUACAGCCAGCUAUCGUUAUCUAUUGAAUACGUGUAACUGAGAAGUCCAUUCAUUGGUCGCCUGCGGAGAGCAACGUUCUUGAGCAGGUAACUCCUGAGCUCAUACGCUUGCUGGGUCCUCCUGGGUUCUCUAUGGGAACCGCUGUAAGUUUCGAAACUUUUCAUAGUGCGGUCUCUUCGUAGACCUGAUUCUGCUCAAGCAAACAGGCUAUUUUGGCAGCACAGGAGCAUAUUUGUUUCAAAGGUUGUUAACCAAUACACCUCUUAUAACAAUAACCUCUAGGGUUUUCUCUCAAGGGCAUACCGGGAGUGACCACAAUAAUAAUUCUUCUAUUCUAUAGCGGAACGGCUGGACGACCACCCGCUACCGGCUUUUAGAAGUUCUGCGCACGUUCCUAAUCCAUUUGGUUGCCAGCAGCUCACUCAGACUAUGUGUAUACAUACUGCUUUUUAAAAUCGAAUGAUACACACAAUUAUACGCCUAAGUUGGAAAACACCGUAUUUCACGUUUAUCUUCUCUAAUAAAGCGUUCUGAAAUCACGUAGAUAUUCAGAUAAACUAAUCCGAUUGUUUUCACGCUAAAAAUCCCUUGUUUAUAAUACGGAACGCGAUAACAUUUUUUUUUUUUGUUUUAGUAGCCUGCCGCUCACAGUCAAAAACACGUAGAGCAUUUAAUAUCUAUCAUAAAAAUUUAUCAUUAGCGUUAAUUUCAAAUAUUACACAACAACAUACAGGUGGAUACAGUCGUAGACUUGAGUGUCAUUAUAAAUCAACCAUUAUUCGGUAUAGACAUUACAGGACAAACCUCAGCUUGUAGUGCCUAUUCGUUGAUAAUGACAGUUAUCUGUAUACAGGAUUUUCGUUUCUGCGGCGUUUUUCUGACUGAUGCUUCUGCUAAUGUUGAUGAUUCUAUCACAUUUAACACUUGUCUACCUUCUAUAACUGAAUAGACUAUUGUCGCACACCAUAAGUGAAUUAAUUCAAUUUAUGCAUAACACAAUGGCACCGUACUUAUUGAAACACUUCCCAGUUCUUUCAGCGGACAUCAUUGCACUGUUCAGGCAUAUAGAACGAGCUGUGAGUUUGUGCGUCUGAAGUUAGCAAACUGGACAAAGGCGAGAACUUCACGGUUUUCUUACGCUCAUAACAACAGCAAAUUGUAUGAGUGCUAACAGUAAUAACAGCCGUAUUAACAGGCCAUUGCUACAGCUAGAGGAAAGAGCAGCUGGCGUAAUUUGCGACGACGACGGCAGCGUUUGCAGCGUCAGCGACUAAGUCAGGUGCGGCUACACACGGAUAAGUUUCGUAGGAGCACACAACAACUUCAAUGCUGGCGCCAAUGUUGCCGUAGUUAUUCUUCCCGCGUGCUUCCGCCUGUAAUUCCAACGUCGACGUUUUCUUGUUCACAGCCGUCGCCACCACCGCCACUACCGUCACCAUCACCGUCACCGUCGUCUUCACUGUCGACUUGGCGCAACCAAGAAUGUCGGGGCUUCCCCGCGCGUUGUCCUUUCCUGGUGGUCGCUGCUACCAGAUCGACCACACGGACCCAGCGAGCCUGGUGCCGCUAUCAACAGCGACAGCCUUGGAAACGACCGCCGUCAGCGGCCGACGAACAAACAAGGAAGGAGUCAUCUGUUCGUUGAGAAAGGACGAAACGGAGAAGUAGACACGAGGGUAAAUGGCGACCGACACAAAAGUUGAAAAGAGAACCACGUGAUACCGGUAGGUUCAGACUUACGGUGAGAGAUUUGUUUUGGAAGAAUGUGCCACAACAGUUAACGAUCUUAGGAGAGAGUGAAGCGACUACGAUACUUUUGCUGUUUCAAUCUAUAAUGUAACAUUUUUCACCUGAUCACUCGAAUUAGGCCCUGAUAAAUAGCUACACCCGUCUAUGUGUACAGUAUCAGCUGAAAGUGGGAAAUCUUGAAUGUGACGUCGUCUUGUUAUAUAAUAUUUAUAUCUGUAGACCAUAUGCGAUUCUUAGGUGAAGAUGUGACACCUUCACUGAAGUAAAGCACUUGGCUUCAAUAUUUCCUGCGAGUCACAAAUUCACAACAAACUGUCUGUGAUAAAUAUCCUUAAUAGAUCUGACGGACAAUUGUACGUUUUGUCAACGUAUCGCAAAUGUGUCAACCUAAGGUUAAAAAAAAGAAAUUUCAAACGAUGCUUAAUUUGGACAAGAUAGAAUUUCAAAAACGCAAAAUAAAAACAGUGAUUACUUUUCACAUGAUUGGAUACCUUAGGUAGACUUAACUUUUAUAAAAGGUGUUAUAAGACUGCAAUAAUGUAAUUUUGUCGAUAUGGUAAACUAGCUACCAAUUAGGUGUGUUUUUAAUGAUAGCAUUUAGUCAUAUUUUUAAGUGGCAUACGUACAAACAUACUUUUUUUUAUGAUAAAUAAGAUUAAAACUGGCUGAAAAGAAAGAUUUGAGUUCUUCGAAGUAUACUAUCGCUCUAUCCUAAAA
This 3462-nucleotide long non-coding RNA is filed under the name Varroa destructor (honeybee mite). RNAcentral's name for it is "uncharacterized LOC111247853, transcript variant X1". Lineage: Eukaryota; Metazoa; Arthropoda; Arachnida; Mesostigmata; Varroidae. The record is from RNAcentral.